GUAAGGAAUAUUGGGCAAUGGAGGCAACUCUGACCCAGCCAUGCCGCGUGAAGGAUUGACGGCCCUCUGGGUUGUAAACUUCUUUUGUACGGGAAUAACCCUCCGAACGUGUUCGGAGCUGAAGGUACCGUAAGAAUAAGGAUCGGCUAACUCCGUGCCAGCAGCCGCGGUAAUACGGAGGAUCCAAGCGUUAUCCGGAUUUACUGGGUUUAAAGGGUGCGUAGGCGGAUUGAUAAGUCAGUGGUGAAAUCCUGCAGCUUAACUGCAGAACUGCCAUUGAUACUGCCAGUCAGGAGUAUGGUUGAGGUAGCUGGAAUGUGUCAUGUAGCGGUGAAAUGCUUAGAGAUGACACAGAACACCGACGGCGAAGGCAGGUUACCAACCCAUUACUGACGCUGAGGCACGAAAGCGUGGGGAUCAAACAGGAUUAGAAACCCCUGUAGUCC
This 446-nucleotide ribosomal RNA is filed under the name uncultured bacterium. RNAcentral describes it as "partial 16S ribosomal RNA". It matches the Rfam family "Bacterial small subunit ribosomal RNA", at positions 354 to 796 of the family's 1533-position model. The record is from RNAcentral.